Molecule: non-coding RNA, 219 nt
Organism: Pelobates cultripes (western spadefoot toad)
Lineage: Eukaryota; Metazoa; Chordata; Amphibia; Anura; Pelobatidae
Source: the annotation of a GenBank genome assembly
CCGGAAAAUAUUUUUCAUGCCGACACAGGGAAUUCUGAUUUAAUAUUACAUUUGUAUUCAUAUUUCAAGCAGCUAUUCUGAAUUGCUCUCUAGUCAGUGGGACACAUUAUUUGAAUUUAACAUACAUUGGUCAGGUUUGGAAGAAAUUAGCAUCUUUCAUAUGUAUACUUCCAUUCCUUCCAAUAAACUAAAAGUAAUAGAUAAUUAAAGAGUUCCAAG